RNAcentral lists this ribosomal RNA (469 nucleotides) under uncultured bacterium. RNAcentral's name for it is "partial 16S ribosomal RNA". It matches the Rfam family "Bacterial small subunit ribosomal RNA", at positions 28 to 507 of the family's 1533-position model. The record is from RNAcentral.
GACGAACGCUGGCGGCGUGCUUAACACAUGCAAGUCGAACGGAAAGGCCCUGCUUGCAGGGUGCUCGAGUGGCGAACGGGUGAGUAACACGUGGGUGAUCUGCCCCUUACUUUGGGAUAAGCCUGGGAAACUGGGUCUAAUACUGGAUAGGACCAUGCUGUAGGUGGUGUGGUGGAAAGAUUAGUUUCGGUAAGGGAUGAGCUCGCGGCCUAUCAGCUUGUUGGUGGGGUAAUGGCCUACCAAGGCGUCGACGGGUAGCCGGCCUGAGAGGGUGGACGGCCACAUUGGGGCUGAGAUACGGCCCAGACUCCUACGGGAGGCAGCAGUGGGGAAGAUUGCACAAUGGUCGCAAGCCUGAUGCAGCGACGCCGCGUGGGGGAUGACGGCCUUCGGGUUGUAAACUCCUUUCAGCCAUGACGAAGCCCUUGUGGUGACGGUAGUGGUAGAAGAAGCACCGGCUAACUACGUG